UACGUAGGGUGCAAGCGUUAAUCGGAAUUACUGGGCGUAAAGCGUGCGCAGGCGGUUAUGCAAGACAGAGGUGAAAUCCCCGGGCUCAACCUGGGAACUGCCUUUGUGACUGCAUGGCUAGAGUACGGUAGAGGGGGAUGGAAUUCCGCGUGUAGCAGUGAAAUGCGUAGAUAUGCGGAGGAACACCGAUGGCGAAGGCAAUCCCCUGGACCUGUACUGACGCUCAUGCACGAAAGCGUGGGGAGCAAACAGGAUUAGAUACCCUGGUAGUCCACGCCCUAAACGAUGUCAACUGGUUGUUGGGAGGGUUUCUUCUCAGUAACGUAGCUAACGCGUGAAGUUGACCGCCUGGGGAGUACGGCCGCAAGGUUGAA
This 374-nucleotide ribosomal RNA is filed under the name uncultured bacterium. RNAcentral describes it as "bacterial SSU rRNA". It matches the Rfam family "Bacterial small subunit ribosomal RNA", at positions 524 to 898 of the family's 1533-position model. The record is from RNAcentral.